RNAcentral lists this long non-coding RNA (1076 nucleotides) under Nicotiana benthamiana. Its description in RNAcentral is "long non-coding RNA (NBEN_LNC018165)". Lineage: Eukaryota; Viridiplantae; Streptophyta; Magnoliopsida; Solanales; Solanaceae. The record is from RNAcentral.
UGGAUCAGAUGAUAAAAAUAUUCAUCGAUGUUUGUGUCUUGAAUUUGAACUGAUUCUAUGAAUGAUCACAGAGUAUUGAUUAUAUGGAUCCAAUAUCAGGUUCACGAGUUCCAAUUUCACCCAAACUACACAUAUAUCAGGCAAAAAUUUUACAUCAGAAAAAAGUCUGAAAUUUUCUAUUACCAUUUCAGAUCAGAAUCCAUACAGUUUCAUUCCCUAUCUUAUUAAUCAUAUUCAAACCAAAAUAAAUAAAUAGAAAUAUAUUUUGACAAGAACUUGCAAGCAUAUAUAAAUGUUUUGUAUCAGUUGCUAGGACAAAGUGGUUCCAAUUUUAUAAUUCCAAUUGGAAAGUAAUAAGUCUAGCUAAUAAGUGUAGUAGUAAUUUAAGCUAUGAGACAAGAGUGUAAUCAAUGAUUAAGCAACAUAACUAAGCUAUUUUCAAACAGGUCAACAUACACAAACGAGAACAAACAAAUCAAAUCCAGAUCCAUCAAAAUAAGAAAGCAAAAUCUAAAAACAGAAGGCGAAUAUCUCUGUUUUAUCCAAAUAUAAACGCUGUACAUUCAACAUACUUGUGUGACUCCACGAACCGACUCGCCGGAAUUGCGUGUUGCCGCCGUGUAAGGAUUUGGAAGCAGAAGGUGGCGAUGGAGGUAAAAAUGUUUCCGGUUCGUCGACUCAUCUGCGACCGGUCCAAAUCGGGCCGGUUCAUAGCGGCGCCGCCGUGUUAGGCGGUGAAGUAGAAGAUAGGUUGAAGAAGAAGGUAGAGGAAGAUGAAGCAAGUGCUUGACGCUGCUAAGAACACCAAUCCGUACAGAGUUCGAACCGCCAUUGAAGAAGAUUCUGGAGUUGAUAGGAAAGAGAUUUGAGAUUUAGAUCUGGAAAGUAGUGGUGGGGAAGUUCGAUUUUAAAUAAGAGACUGUAAAAGCUUCCUGAUUUGAAAUUUGAAUGUGAAAAAGGACUUAAAAGGGAAAAUGGAUAAGGCUAUAGCAAAAUAUAAUAAUUUUAAAGAAGAAUGAAGAUAAGGUUAAAGGUCUAUAGCAAUAACAAUUUACAAUAUUUUAAUCUAUUAAUUU